GGUGAUAGGGCAGGACCUCACCAUCCAGAGUCUAUCCCAGGUCUCCAGUUAGGAAUUCUGAGCAGCUGGGGGAAACAGGGGCAGUCCUGGGUAUCAGGCACCUCCUUGGAGAUGGGAGCCAACCAAGGACAGGCUGAGAUGUCAGCCCAUGGGUGGGGGUCAGGAUCAGGCCUGGUGAGGGGAAGCUGCAUCAGACACAGCCUUGCUUGUGUGCAAGUACAAACUAUUACGGAUAUUACCAUGCUUACAGAGUUGAAACACAAGCUGAUCCCUCCUGCUUUCCUUCCUGGAGUUCAGCGUGUUGUUGGCAAAUGAAGAGCAGGCAGAACAUGGAAGAGGGAAAAGAUUCAGAAACAGAUGCUCGAACCCAGCUGCAAAUCCCAGGAAAUGGAAGCUUCCAGCAUAGGGACUCUUCAUUCCACACUGUUUAUACCUUACUGCUAAGAACAGUUUAAAAUCCUAUUUUAGGUGUAAAUUCCUCUGCAUUUUUGAAAAGAUUAAAAUGUUUCUGAGUAACCACAUUACAAUUAAGCCACACAGGUUAGCUAUAGUUGGCAAGAUUCUCAUUUAUAGUGAGAUUCCUUUAAGAUCUCUUUGUGUGGAGUGUUGUAAAGUGCAAUUACACUAAAUUAAUACUCAUCUUGAGUUCCUUAUAGCACUAGAACAGUAGAAAGGCAUAAGUGUGAAAAAACACAUCCAACCAAAGUACUCAAUAGUCUCCAUCCUAUUUGCAUUUUUGCCAAUUUCCCCCACUUUCUCAAUAUUAAACCCCAGAAAAUUCUCUUUACCAGCUUGUUAAGGUUUCCUUUUAGGAAGAAAGCAGU
Molecule: long non-coding RNA, 824 nt
Organism: Pseudopipra pipra
Lineage: Eukaryota; Metazoa; Chordata; Aves; Passeriformes; Pipridae
Exons: 3
Source: RefSeq, a predicted model, not a curated record